UUAAGCGACUAAGCGUACACGGUGGAUGCCCUGGCAGUCAGAGGCGAUGAAGGACGUGCUAAUCUGCGAUAAGCGUCGGUAAGGUGAUAUGAACCGUUAUAACCGGCGAUUUCCGAAUGGGGAAACCCAGUGUGAUUCGUCACACUAUCAUUAACUGAAUCCAUAGGUUAAUGAGGCGAACCGGGGAACUGAAACAUCUAAGUACCCCGAGGAAAAGAAAUCAACCGAGAUUCCCCCAGUAGCGGCGAGCGAACGGGGAGCAGCCCAGAGCCUGAAUCAGUGUGUGUGUUAGUGGAAGCGUCUGGAAAGGCGCGCGAUACAGGGUGACAGCCCCGUACACAAAAAUGCACAUGCUGUGAGCUCGAUGAGUAGGGCGGGACACGUGGUAUCCUGUCUGAAUAUGGGGGGACCAUCCUCCAAGGCUAAAUACUCCUGACUGACCGAUAGUGAACCAGUACCGUGAGGGAAAGGCGAAAAGAACCCCGGCGAGGGGAGUGAAAAAGAACCUGAAACCGUGUACGUACAAGCAGUGGGAGCCUCUUUUAUGGGGUGACUGCGUACCUUUUGUAUAAUGGGUCAGCGACUUAUAUUCUGUAGCAAGGUUAACCGAAUAGGGGAGCCGAAGGGAAACCGAGUCUUAACUGGGCGUUAAGUUGCAGGGUAUAGACCCGAAACCCGGUGAUCUAGCCAUGGGCAGGUUGAAGGUUGGGUAACACUAACUGGAGGACCGAACCGACUAAUGUUGAAAAAUUAGCGGAUGACUUGUGGCUGGGGGUGAAAGGCCAAUCAAACCGGGAGAUAGCUGGUUCUCCCCGAAAGCUAUUUAGGUAGCGCCUCGUGAAUUCAUCUCCGGGGGUAGAGCACUGUUUCGGCAAGGGGGUCAUCCCGACUUACCAACCCGAUGCAAACUGCGAAUACCGGAGAAUGUUAUCACGGGAGACACACGGCGGGUGCUAACGUCCGUCGUGAAGAGGGAAACAACCCAGACCGCCAGCUAAGGUCCCAAAGUCAUGGUUAAGUGGGAAACGAUGUGGGAAGGCCCAGACAGCCAGGAUGUUGGCUUAGAAGCAGCCAUCAUUUAAAGAAAGCGUAAUAGCUCACUGGUCGAGUCGGCCUGCGCGGAAGAUGUAACGGGGCUAAACCAUGCACCGAAGCUGCGGCAGCGACGCUGAUGCGUUGUUGGGUAGGGGAGCGUUCUGUAAGCCUGUGAAGGUGUGCUGUGAGGCAUGCUGGAGGUAUCAGAAGUGCGAAUGCUGACAUAAGUAACGAUAAAGCGGGUGAAAAGCCCGCUCGCCGGAAGACCAAGGGUUCCUGUCCAACGUUAAUCGGGGCAGGGUGAGUCGACCCCUAAGGCGAGGCCGAAAGGCGUAGUCGAUGGGAAACAGGUUAAUAUUCCUGUACUUGGUGUUACUGCGAAGGGGGGACGGAGAAGGCUAUGUUGGCCGGGCGACGGUUGUCCCGGUUUAAGCGUGUAGGCUGGUUUUCCAGGCAAAUCCGGAAAAUCAAGGCUGAGGCGUGAUGACGAGGCACUACGGUGCUGAAGCAACAAAUGCCCUGCUUCCAGGAAAAGCCUCUAAGCAUCAGGUAACAUCAAAUCGUACCCCAAACCGACACAGGUGGUCAGGUAGAGAAUACCAAGGCGCUUGAGAGAACUCGGGUGAAGGAACUAGGCAAAAUGGUGCCGUAACUUCGGGAGAAGGCACGCUGAUAUGUAGGUGAAGUCCCUCGCGGAUGGAGCUGAAAUCAGUCGAAGAUACCAGCUGGCUGCAACUGUUUAUUAAAAACACAGCACUGUGCAAACACGAAAGUGGACGUAUACGGUGUGACGCCUGCCCGGUGCCGGAAGGUUAAUUGAUGGGGUCAGCGCAAGCGAAGCUCUUGAUCGAAGCCCCGGUAAACGGCGGCCGUAACUAUAACGGUCCUAAGGUAGCGAAAUUCCUUGUCGGGUAAGUUCCGACCUGCACGAAUGGCGUAAUGAUGGCCAGGCUGUCUCCACCCGAGACUCAGUGAAAUUGAACUCGCUGUGAAGAUGCAGUGUACCCGCGGCAAGACGGAAAGACCCCGUGAACCUUUACUAUAGCUUGACACUGAACAUUGAGCCUUGAUGUAUAGGAUAGGUGGGAGGCUUUGAAGUGUGGACGCCAGUCUGCAUGGAGCCGACCUUGAAAUACCACCCUUUAAUGUUUGAUGUUCUAACGUUGACCCGUAAUCCGGGUUGCGGACAGUGUCUGGUGGGUAGUUUGACUGGGGCGGUCUCCUCCUAAAGAGUAACGGAGGAGCACGAAGGUUGGCUAAUCCUGGUCGGACAUCAGGAGGUUAGUGCAAUGGCAUAAGCCAGCUUGACUGCGAGCGUGACGGCGCGAGCAGGUGCGAAAGCAGGUCAUAGUGAUCCGGUGGUUCUGAAUGGAAGGGCCAUCGCUCAACGGAUAAAAGGUACUCCGGGGAUAACAGGCUGAUACCGCCCAAGAGUUCAUAUCGACGGCGGUGUUUGGCACCUCGAUGUCGGCUCAUCACAUCCUGGGGCUGAAGUAGGUCCCAAGGGUAUGGCUGUUCGCCAUUUAAAGUGGUACGCGAGCUGGGUUUAGAACGUCGUGAGACAGUUCGGUCCCUAUCUGCCGUGGGCGCUGGAGAACUGAGGGGGGCUGCUCCUAGUACGAGAGGACCGGAGUGGACGCAUCACUGGUGUUCGGGUUGUCAUGCCAAUGGCACUGCCCGGUAGCUAAAUGCGGAAGAGAUAAGUGCUGAAAGCAUCUAAGCACGAAACUUGCCCCGAGAUGAGUUCUCCCUGACUCCUUGAGAGUCCUAAAGGAACGUUGAAGACGACGACGUUGAUAGGCCGGGUGUGUAAGCGCAGCGAUGCGUUGAGCUAACCGGUACUAAUGAACCGUGAGGCUUAACCUU
Molecule: ribosomal RNA, 2901 nt
Filed under: Escherichia coli
Lineage: Bacteria; Pseudomonadati; Pseudomonadota; Gammaproteobacteria; Enterobacterales; Enterobacteriaceae
Description: bacterial LSU rRNA
Rfam family: Bacterial large subunit ribosomal RNA
Source: RNAcentral